GGCCAAUGUUUCCAGAAAUGUUUUUGCUAUUAUUUUACUUUGGGUGCAAGAGAUUAUUUGUUGGCAAUGGGUGGGUUCCAGUUUAUUUGACUAAUGGUGGCCCAGUCACUGUUACGCCAUGCUGUGACCUUCUUGCACCCUCUAUUCUCUCAGACAGUUAUUGAAGGAGAAACCACCCAGAGUGACUCAGGGGAUUCGUACAUAACCGUAUAUCAGCUCCAAAAACACAAAUAGCAGCUCGGAUGACCGGCUGCCAUUUGCAAUCCGCUUUGCAUUAUGGGUAUCAGCAGUGGCGUCUCUAGGAUUAAUUUUUAGGGGGGGCAAAUGGUGGGCCUUGGACUAAAGUAGGGGGACACAUUUAACCCCGCCCUCACCACAGUUUGACCCCGC
Non-coding RNA from Pelobates cultripes (western spadefoot toad), 390 nucleotides. Lineage: Eukaryota; Metazoa; Chordata; Amphibia; Anura; Pelobatidae. The record is from the annotation of a GenBank genome assembly.